GUACUCUCACACUCCCAAUUCUUUUGGAUUGGGAGCGGUGGACUUGGGUGUUGCUGCUUUACGGUGGCUCGCCUCAAAUGGAGUAGUGCAACUCUCGGUUGGACAUAGUACGGCGUGAUAAGUAUCUUCGCCGGCGCCUCACUAGAGGGUGGCCGAUCGGGAGCUCUGUGCUUCAAACCGUCUUCGGACAAUCUCUGACA
RNAcentral lists this unclassified non-coding RNA (200 nucleotides) under uncultured Sebacina. RNAcentral's name for it is "sequence contains ITS2". The record is from RNAcentral. Lineage: Eukaryota; Fungi; Basidiomycota; Agaricomycetes; Sebacinales; Sebacinaceae.